RNAcentral lists this ribosomal RNA (468 nucleotides) under uncultured bacterium. Its description in RNAcentral is "partial 16S ribosomal RNA". It matches the Rfam family "Bacterial small subunit ribosomal RNA", at positions 28 to 507 of the family's 1533-position model. The record is from RNAcentral.
GACGAACGCUGGCGGCGUGCUUAACACAUGCAAGUCGAACGGAAAGGCCCUGCUUUUGUGGGGUGCUCGAGUGGCGAACGGGUGAGUAACACGUGAGUAACCUGCCCUUGACUUUGGGAUAACUUCAGGAAGCUGGGGCUAAUACCGUAUAGGAGCUCCUGCUGCAUGGUGGGGGUUGGAAAGUUUCGGCGGUUGGGGAUGGACUCGCGGCUUAUCAGCUUGUUGGUGGGGUAGUGGCUUACCAAGGCUUUGACGGGUAGCCGGCCGGGGAGGGUGACCGGCCACAUUGGGACUGAGAGACGGCCCAGACUCCUACGGGAGGCAACAGUGGGGAAUAUUGCACAGUGGGCGGGAGCCUGAUGCAGCAACGCCGCGGGCGGGAUGACGGCCUUCGGGUUGUAAACCGCUUUCGCCUGUGACGAAGCGUGAGUGACGGUAAUGGGUAAAGAAGCACCGGCUAACUACGUG